CCCCCUCCCGCAAGCCCUCGGGGAGUCCCCUGGGCGGCACCUCAGCGCCCACUGCCACUGCUGGCGUUUCCCGCCCAUCAGCCACCUCAGCCUCCAGUUUCCUCACUGCUGUGGCCCCCUCACAGCACCCCUGUCCCCAGUGUGAGCCACCCCCCCCACUUCCCUCUCUCCCACCCAGUCACGCCAGUGAUUCCGAUCCUGGGGCCUGAGACCCUCUCCAGGCCACCCUCAGGAUUAGGGCUAGAAGGCUGGGGGGGGUCAUCUAGUCUAGUGGUUCUCAACCUUUGGUACCUUAUGUAGUACCCCCAGCCGAUCGAUGUGGCAAAAGCAAAACCAGAGUCCCACCGUGGCACUUCCGGUUUUGCUACUGUGAGCAGAGUCCCACUUUUUCCUCGCAGACCACAGCAAAGCAGCCUGGACAUGUAGGGCAUAUGCAACCCGCGAGGAGCCCAUGAUGUGCUGCACCAGGCAGCCCCUGACUGGCCCGGCCCUGGCACAUGCAGGGCAAUGCUGGCAGUGCAGUGGAGGUGGGGGGCAUGUGGCUGAACACAGAGCAGCGGUGGCCACUGUGUGCAAGCUUCCCCUGCCCUGCCCUGCGUCCAGCUGAGCAGGCGGCGCCUGCACAGCAGUGUGGGAUGGUGCGUAGCACUACUCUGUCCCCACCUGCCCAUGCAUACCCCCCAGGGCCUUCUCAAGUACCCCCAGGGGUACACAUACUCCUGGUUCACAACGCCUGCCCUAGCCCAAGGGUUGCCCAAGAUGCCUGGACCAGGGCAGAAGGCCCAUGCAAGCGUGCAGCAGGCUGGUGAGCCUGAUGCCCAGACUCCCAGAGCAGACACCCAGUAUUCUAGAGAAGAGGCUGCCUCAUGCUGGACCCUGUGCAGGAAGAAGACAUCUACAAGGGAGCAGAGGCACUGAUGAGUGGUUUGAAACGUGGAUGUGGGGCCCUUAGGGGAGUUGGUGGUGGGGGUUUUGUGUGGGAUCCUGAUGGGGUAAGAAUUAGCUAUGAACUUGUUAAACAGUGGCUAGCUAGAGUUUUUCCUUUGAAAUUGCUCUGCAGCUAGAUUAAGCCUUUCUAAUGACGCCAGAAAAAAGAGCAUUAUCAGCAGACCUGUAACCCUGGUAUCGGAAAAAAGAAACGUUUUUUGUGAUGAACAGAGGCCCAGUGUUUCAGGUGAAGCUAAUGAUUCUUUGGCUUUUAGAAGACAGCAAGGAAUAGAAUGAACAGGCCCUGUUUUGAGUCAAAAACCCUUCUCCCAAAAAGGAAAAUCAGAACAAACAUGCACCUCCAUGUCGUUACCCUGUAGUGAAAGUGAUCUCACUCAAUACCUCCAAAGAAGGAAGAGAUGCUUCAGAGAAUCAAUUCCUAGAAAUGCCAGAGGGACAGGAACUGGACCAAAGCCCUCUAACAGCACUAACUCAAAACCACAGAAAUGCUCAUCCUAAGGAUCAGAACCCUGAAGAUCAGGAUGCCAGAAAGACAGAGAAGAAGGACAUGGUGAAAAAACAGAAAAGACACCACCAAACCCUGAGAGAACCAUGUGUAAAACACAAGAAUUCACUGUUUCAAAGCUCGUGCUUUGGGGCCUAUGAAUAAGAAACCCAGGACUGGUUGCACACAUAAUUUAGAGAAGUCUCAGAAGGAGAUUUUUCACCUGGUUUUGAAAGAUGAUUAUUGUGAAAACAACAAGAGGGGAUCUUUGGGCGGUGCAGGCAGAUUUACACAUUAAAGAAAGAGAGUGCAGCAUGAUUUGAAAGACCAUGAUUAUUGUGCCAACAAAAAGAGGGGAUCUUUGGAGGUGUGGGCAGACAUACACAUUGCAGACAGUGUAUUCAGAGUGUUUUGAAAGAUCAUGGUUAUUGUUUGAGCAAAAGGACAUAUUUUAUACGGAGAGUUGGCGGUAAACUCAGGAGUAAGCAGCUUGCAAGACAAAAAGUCGGGCCUGGUUAAAAAUGACUUGUAAAAGCUAAAUGUCUGUUGAGAACAAAAAGUGAGCCCCUAGUGAUGGUGAUUCACAUGCUCCUCCUGAAACUGUGAAACUGGAAAGUAAGGGCGGUGAAUGUGAUUCAGGGGACCCAUUAGAGAAUCCCUCAAGUGCUUACCCUCCUGAGCCUCUGAAGUCAGAGAGUGAGGGAGGUGGAUGUGAUUCAGGGGACACAAAUUGUCCCUCAAAUGCUUCCCCUUUUCCUGAAUUUAUGGAGUCAGAGAGUGGGGGUGGCAGAUGUGAUUCAAAGGACCCAAUAGAGGAUCUCUCAAAUGCCCCACCUCCUCCUGAGCCAGUGGAGGAUGUCUGGGCACACUUAGAUAUGAUAUGGGUGAGAAGGUGGGAGUGCUCGGAGGUUUAGAACAAGGUUUGCAGCCCGGAGGUAUGCAUGUCAUACUAUAUGUUGAUAGUGGCUUAAACUCCUGGACUUUUACUGAGGAGAAGAACAGAACAAAAACAAUGUUUCAGUAUGAUGGAAUCACCUUUCAGGAAGUGAAUGAAGUUCAGAAGACUAGCAAAUGAACAUGCUGUUUUGUACAGCUUUCUUUUUCUUUUCUUGCAGUACAAAAAUAUAGUAAUAUAGAAUAUGUUUAUGUUAUAUAAUUUAAUAUUGAGUAGUUUUCUCUCCAUUUAUUUAAUUAUACAUCUUACCUCUGAUGUUAGACUACUGACAGGGUACAUAAUUUGCAACAGGUUUCUCAUGAGAAAAGAUCCUACUGAUUUCUCUCUCUUCCAUAUAUUCUUUUUCCUUUAAUUAGCUCAUGCAGAUUUAAAAGGACAUGAUUUACCUGACACUGGACAUCAGUCAUUUUCUGUAGUAAAUAGCCACAGGGCAGCAUAUCACACUGAAUAGAGGACUUGAUUCUGUUCCUGGUUUUACCACUAGACUGUCAAGUAGUCCUGGGCAAGUCAUUUUACUUCUCUAUGCAUCCACAACAUAGAGGGGGGGAUGAUACUAACCCCCUUUGUACAGCACUUCGAUCACCAUGGAUGAAAAAGCAGUAUAAGAGGUAUUAUUUCCUCCAUUCCCAGAACUCUCUUUUUAGGAUUUUGCAAAGCUUAUGUCCUCCUUUCAGGUGGGAGUAUUUUUGUACUGUAAUCUAGUUUAGCAACAUAACAAGAUGGAGAUUCUGUCUUGUGAGCUGAAUUGGAGACAGAAUAUAUUGUGAGCAGCGAUAGUUUUUAGUCCUCAAUCUCGAGGAGCAUACGACUCCCAGAAAAAAUUGAGAAACAUAGCUCAAAAACAGUGGCAUAGGCACCUGAAAGGACUCUAAUGGUGUUUUGGCCUAAUGUAGGACCAUUUCAUGCUAUUGAUUUUUUAAGAACUAUAGUUGAAAUGUAGUGAAAAUAUUUUUCCUUGGCCAGCUAUUUUCAGGCUAAUGUUCUUUUGUAGACUUCCCAAGGAUAAUAGUGGAAACUGAGUUGCAGACCUAACCCUAGAAAAAACGCUGCCUUCAUUGUCCUGUGGAAGAUACGUUAGUAUAAAAGCACUCAGUAUGAGAAAAUCACAUACACACACAAAUUUUCUGCAAUAUUUAGUCAAUGUUUAGUAUUUCUGAGCCUGAGCUCACAAGGAUUUGUACAGUGCUAUGUCAUUCAGAGGCAGAUGAGCUCCGUAAGAGCCAACAGCCUUCCAUACCCGGAGAGGAGAUGAACACCACCAGGUCACACUGCCUGAAGAAUCACCAAUGAUGCAAAGCAACUCAAGUAACCUCAGCCAAACAGGGUACAGUGGAGGAGGGUUAUUAUAGCACCAGUGAUCGCAGCGGCCUCAGGACUGAUUUGACAAUGCCAUUCAGUAGCUUCUAUUUUGAAGGCUUCUCUGUUUUAGAUGACUCUCACAAGUAUGCUUUUUUUUUUUUUUUUUUUUGUGGG
Molecule: long non-coding RNA, 3860 nt
Organism: Alligator sinensis (Chinese alligator)
Lineage: Eukaryota; Metazoa; Chordata; Crocodylia; Alligatoridae
Exons: 3
Source: RefSeq, a predicted model, not a curated record